This 468-nucleotide ribosomal RNA is filed under the name uncultured bacterium. RNAcentral's name for it is "partial 16S ribosomal RNA". It matches the Rfam family "Bacterial small subunit ribosomal RNA", at positions 28 to 507 of the family's 1533-position model. The record is from RNAcentral.
GACGAACGCUGGCGGCGUGCUUAACACAUGCAAGUCGAACGGAAAGGCCCUGCUUUUGUGGGGUGCUCGAGUGGCGAACGGGUGAGUAACACGUGAGUAACCUGCCCUUGACUUUGGGAUAACUUCAGGAAACUGGGGCUAAUACCGGAUAGGAGCUCCUGCUGCAUGGUGGGGAUUGGUAAGUUUCGGCGGUUGGGGAUGGACUCGCGGCUUAUCAGCUUGUUGGUGGGGUAGUGGCUUACCAAGGCUUUGACGGGUAGCCGGCCUGAGAGGGUGACCGGCCACAUUGCGACUGAGAUACGGCCCAGACGCCUACGGGAGGCAGCAGUGGGGAAUAUUGCACAAUGGGCGGAAGCGUGAUGCAGCAACGCCGCGUGCGGGAUGACGGCCUUCGAGUUGUAAACCGCUUUCGACUGUGACGAAGCGUGAGUGACGGUAAUGGGUAAAGAAGCACCGGCUAACUACGUG